This 485-nucleotide ribosomal RNA is filed under the name uncultured bacterium. Its description in RNAcentral is "bacterial SSU rRNA". It matches the Rfam family "Bacterial small subunit ribosomal RNA", at positions 15 to 518 of the family's 1533-position model. The record is from RNAcentral.
GAUUAUGGCUCAGGACGAACGCUGGCGGCGUGCUUAACACAUGCAAGUCGAGCGGAGAAUAUAGCAAUAUAUUCUUAGCGGCGGACGGGUGAGUAACGCGUGGGCAAUCUGCCUCAUACAGGGGGAUAACACUGGGAAACUAGUGCUAAUACCGCAUAAAAUAGUGAAGUGGCAUCACUUUACUAUCAAAAGGAGCAAUCCGGUGUGAGAUGAGCCCGCGUCCGAUUAGCUAGUUGGAGGGUAACGGCCCACCAAGGCGACGAUCGGUAGCCGAACUGAGAGGUUGAUCGGCCACAUUGGGACUGAGACACGGCCCAGACUCCUACGGGAGGCAGCAGUGGGGAAUAUUGCGCCAAUGGGGGAAACCCUGACGCAGCAACGCCGCGUGAAGGAUGAAGGUUUUCGGAUUGUAAACUUCUUUGAUUGGGGACGAUAAUGACGGUACCCAAAAAACAAGCCACGGCUAACUACGUGCCAGCCGCCGC